UACGGAGGGUGCAAGCGUUAUCCGGAUUCACUGGGUUUGAAGGGUGCGUAGGCGGGUUGGUAAGUCCGUGGUGAAAUCUCCGAGCUUAACUCGGAAACUGCCGUGGAUACUAUCAAUCUUGAAUAUCGUGGAGGUAAGCGGAAUAUGUCAUGUAGCGGUGAAAUGCUUAGAUAUGACAUAGAACACCAAUUGCGUAGGCAGCUUACUACACGAUCAUUGACGCUGAGGCACGAAAGCGUGGGGAGCAAACAGG
RNAcentral lists this ribosomal RNA (253 nucleotides) under uncultured bacterium. Its description in RNAcentral is "partial 16S ribosomal RNA". It matches the Rfam family "Bacterial small subunit ribosomal RNA", at positions 524 to 776 of the family's 1533-position model. The record is from RNAcentral.